CUCUCUCGGCUUGCACUAAGGAGGAGGUCACGUGAGCACACAGUGAGAAGGCGGAGGACCAUCUGCAAGCAGGAAGAGAGCCCUCGCUAGAACCCCCCACGGUGGCAUCUGAUAGUGGACUUCUAGCUUCCAGAACUGAACUCAUAAAUGUCACAUCAGGCUGCCUCUUGGUGAAUUUUUAAUCAACGGGGAGAAUUUCAGCUACAAAUAGACCAAGAAUCAAGAGGCCCACUAUUGAUCGGUCAAAGUGGCACUUAUGAACCUGAGGUUGAAGCAGUUUGGAUAAAAGGAUUCUGGGCUUUCGAUGGCCCCAGAGACAUCUUUUUCCAUCAAGUCCAGGCUUGCUGAUCGGUACAGCUGAGAACAUGUUGAAUUUGAUGUGCCUGUGGAUAUUUGAGUCUGGAACAUUGAAGACAAGUUUGGUCUGGAGAUGUAGACUGGGGAUAUCUCAGCACACAGAUGAUAACUGAAAUGAUGGAGCGGAUGAUAUAAACUGGAGAGAGUCUGGUGUGGGAAGAGUCUUCCCUGAGGUGGCCGAAAGAUGUAAUUCUUACUCCAAAGACUGAAAUAGAGACAAGAGAAGCUGAAGUUACAGGGUUUUGUCAUUGGGAAGACAGUAGAGUGUGUCAUAUCCCAAGAGUGAAGCAAGGACAAACCAAAGAACAACUGGGAAGAUCUGGGAGAAAAAGGGCCUGUGCUGAGUGCCACAGGGAACAGCAUUUAGCAACAUCAAGCAGGAGAGGCAGAGAAAGCAGCAAUAACUCCACAUAUGACUUGGAAAUUGGCUCAGUCUCGUGGCAGGAGAUGUGUGUUUUUAUGGUGUUAAGUGUGAAGGAGUGAAAGCAGCCAGUGAUCAGGAGCGCCAACGCAGCUCCUUCCCAGGAGCCUUCCCGGCUGCUUCCCCUUUGUGGGAGAUGUGCUGGAAGGAGUACUAAGAGGAGAGAUGCUUUGCUUUAGUAGGAUGGCAGCUUUGGGAAAGAGACGCGAGAGUGAGUGUGCAGAGAGCUUGUUCUGAGUGCAAGAGAUAAGUGGGAUGAAUCCUGUCUUAGAGGCAAUCAAGCAAGAGAGGAUGGGGUGGCAGGCACUUCAGCUCUCUAGCCCCUCCUUCCAGGGCAGAGCCAUUUUAGAGAUCCACGUCUUUUCCCCAUCCAUAGGCUGCUGAAGCCAGAAACAGCCCAGCACUUAAGAGGGGAGCGGAAAAUGACAUCACUAGUCUGGGCAGUAUCUUCUCAGCCUAAACCAUUAUUCCCUCCCUCCCUUUUAACAAAGACUCCUAGUUUCCCACCCAAUAUCCAGUCUCCAUUUUCUUCCUAACUGAAUGUUGACUUCUUCCCCCUGGGAAACAAGAUAUCAAGGAAAAUGAUGCACCUUGUUUGCCUCCCUUGCAAGUGGGCCUGGCCCAUCCAUCAGAGGUAAGUAGAAGUCAUCAGGUGGGGCUUUCAGGCAAGCUCUUCAAUGAAGCUGACUCAGCUGGGGGACGAUUUUUCUCUUCCUCCUUCUUUCUGCCUAAUAUGUGGACAUCUGUUUGGAUCUUGAGGCAAAUUCGAUGACAGAAUCACAUCCUAGAGGUAUUAAAGCAGACGUUUAGGAGGACACUGGUACCUGAUGACUGCUGUAUCUGCCUAUGACUGGACCUCAGUGUAAGAAGCCACUUGUUUGAAUUUUCUGUGCAUGCAAGGAACUCCAUUCUAAGUGCUGUAUCUCUCGCCCAUGCUGCCUGUAUUAGGUAGGGAAAGUAAAUUUAUCUGCUGUAACAAACAA
Molecule: long non-coding RNA, 1761 nt
Organism: Homo sapiens (human)
Lineage: Eukaryota; Metazoa; Chordata; Mammalia; Primates; Hominidae
Source: Ensembl